Molecule: ribosomal RNA, 253 nt
Filed under: uncultured bacterium
Lineage: Bacteria
Description: partial 16S ribosomal RNA
Rfam family: Bacterial small subunit ribosomal RNA
Source: RNAcentral
UACGGGGGGGGCAAGCGUUGUUCGGAAUUACUGGGCGUAAAGGGCUCGUAGGUGGCCAACUAAGUCAGACGUGAAAUCCCUCAGCUUAACUGGGGAACUGCGUCUGAUACUGGAUGGCUUGAGUUUGGGAGAGGGACGCGGAAUUCCAGGUGUAGCGGUGAAAUGCGUAGAUAUCAGGAGGAACACCGGUGGCGAAGGCGGGUCUCUGGGCCGUAACUGACGCUGAGGAGCGAAAGCGUGGGGAGCGAACAGG